AGCGGCGGACGGGUGAGUAACGCGUGGGUAACCUGCCCUAUACACAUGGAUAACAUACUGAAAAGUUUACUAAUACAUGAUAAUAUAUAUUUGUGGCAUCGCAGAUAUAUCAAAGUGUUAGCGGUAUAGGAUGGACCCGCGUCUGAUUAGCUAGUUGGUGAGAUAACUGCCCACCAAGGCGACGAUCAGUAGCCGACCUGAGAGGGUGAUCGGCCACAUUGGAACUGAGACACGGUCCAGACUCCUACGGGAGGCAGCAGUGGGGAAUAUUGCACAAUGGGCGAAAGCCUGAUGCAGCAACGCCGCGUGAACGAUGAAGGUCUUCGGAUCGUAAAGUUCUGUUGCAGGGGAAGAUAAUGACGGUACCCUGUGAGGAAGCCCCGGCUAACUACGUGCCAGCAGCCGCGGUAAUACGUAGGGGGCUAGCGUUAUCCGGAUUUACUGGGCGUAAAGGGUGCGUAGGUGGUCCUUCAAGUCGGUGGUUAAAGGCUACGGCUCAACCGUAGUAAGCCGCCGAAACUGGAGGACUUGAGUGCAGGAGAGGAAAGUGGAAUUCCCAGUGUAGCGGUGAAAUGCGUAGAU
This 582-nucleotide ribosomal RNA is filed under the name uncultured Peptostreptococcaceae bacterium. RNAcentral's name for it is "bacterial SSU rRNA". It matches the Rfam family "Bacterial small subunit ribosomal RNA", at positions 94 to 695 of the family's 1533-position model. Lineage: Bacteria; Bacillati; Bacillota; Clostridia; Peptostreptococcales; Peptostreptococcaceae. The record is from RNAcentral.